Molecule: ribosomal RNA, 1951 nt
Filed under: uncultured soil eukaryote
Lineage: Eukaryota
Description: SSU rRNA
Rfam family: Eukaryotic small subunit ribosomal RNA
Source: RNAcentral
UCUUGCCAGUAUUAUAUACUUAUAUUAAAGAUUAAGCCAUGCAAAUGUUAGAUCGAAUUUUUUAACUUUUAAUCUGUUGAUGGCUCAAUACAAGAGUUAUUUACUCUUCGUUUGCCAGCACAGCUAAGGAUAACGUAGCCAACAGCAGCGAUAAUACUCGAAUAAAUAGGGUGCAAAAACACCUUAAUGAUAGGAGAAGUAGAUUUAAGCCUAUCACAACCAAACUAUUUUGCUUUGAUACCGUUAAAAGUUGAGAGGUAAAAUAUUGGAUGUUGACCGAUUUGUAUAAUGAGAUAAGGCCACACGUUUUCAUAGAUGUAUCGGCGUAUCUUUAAUAAGAUGGCCAAAUGUAUGUGUUUCUUAUCUAUCAGUUUCAGAUGUUUUAUUAAGGAUGAAACAUGGCUUUUACGGAUACGGAGAAUUAGAGUUUGAUACCGGAGAGGGCGCUUGAGGAUUGGCGACCACGUCUAAGGAUGGCAGCAGGCGCGAAAAUUGUCCAAUAUUGACUUAAUGAGACAGUGACGAUAAAUAACGACCUUUAACUUUUCGUUAAAGGGUAUCCUUUGGGUUUGUAAUGGUUGUACAUUAAAAUUCUACAAGAGUAACGAUUGGAGGAAAAGUCUGGUGCCAGCACCCGCGGUAAUUCCAGCUCCAAUAGCGUAUUCUAAAAUUGUUGCAGUUAAAACGCUCGUAGUUUGACUAAAAAUACAAAUGUGUGAGCAGUGUCAAAUGCGGCUAUCUUUUUAUGAUUCAGUUCGUUUAAAGAAGCUGUGCCCAAGGCAAAAAUUUUGACAUUUUUAGAUCACGCCAAACUUACUGUAGCUUGCUACUUUAGGCUGUGUGUUAUCGCUUACAUAAUGAAGUAUUUGCUGUUUCCAACUGUGAGUAAAUCAAAGUGCUUAAAACAAGCUAACUAUUUAUAGUGUAGCAUGAAUGGUUUAGCAUGGUAUUGGAUUAAUAUUUUCUUCAAAUAUUAAAAGAGAACUAGGCAGAGGGUUUUUGCAUUGUAUUGUUAGAGGUGAAAUUCAGAGAUCGAUACAAGACUCACAAAUGCGAAGGCAGUUAUACCCAUGACAUUUCUAUCAAUCAGGAACGAAAGUUGGGGGAUCGAAGAUGAUUAGAUACCGUCGUAGUCCUAACCGUAAACUAUAUCGACAGGAGAUUGGAUGAUGAACCCUUUCUCCAGAUCCUUUCAGCAUUCAAGGGAAACCGAAAGUUUUUAGGUUCUGGGGGGAGUAUGGUCGCAAGGCUGAAACUUAAAAGAAUUGACGGAAGAACACAACCAGGAGUGGAAUUUGCGGCUUAAUUCGACCCAACACGGGAAAACUCACCAGGACCGGAUAAACGAGCAGGAUUGACAGGUUGAAGUCCUUUCAUGAUUUCUUACAUGGUGGUGCAUGGCCGUUCUUAGUACGUGAAUUGAUUUGUCUGGUUAAUUCCGAUAACGUACGAGACCUUAACACAUUAAUUAGGCAAUCGUUGAUUAACUCUCUCAUGUUUCUACGGAAAUCGAUUAUGGAACAUAAGUUUCGAGCUUCUUAAUUGGGACUAUGUAUCGUUACCACAAUUAUAUUAGUACAAGGAAGUUUAAGGCAAUAACAGGUCUGGAAUGCCCUUAGAUGUCCUGGGCAGCACGCGUAUUACAAUGUUAGUUUAAACGAGAAAAAAUUUUCGGAUUUAUUCGGAAAUACCAAGCUUGGGUAACCUUUAUAAAAGGCUAGGGAAUCUUUUGAAUUACUAACGUGACUGGGAUAGAUGGUUGUAAUAUCGUCUUCAACGAGGAAUUCCUAGUAAGUGCAAGUCACUAACUUGUAUUGAUUACGUCCCUGUUCUUUGUACACACCGCCCGUCGCUCCUACCAAUGGAACAAAAAGAUGAAAGCGAUGAACUGAUGUUAUGUUGGAAAAUUAAUUAAAUCUUUUUGUUUGUAGGAAGGAGAAGUCGUAACAAG